RNAcentral lists this transfer RNA (98 nucleotides) under Sorangium sp. So ce836. Its description in RNAcentral is "Sorangium sp. Soce836 tRNA-Ser". The record is from RNAcentral. Lineage: Bacteria; Pseudomonadati; Myxococcota; Polyangiales; Polyangiaceae.
UGGUGUUUGUAGUCGGGCCCCUCGGGCGCGAGCUGCUGGAGCCAGGUCCAGAUGUCCUCCCAGAGGCCGGGCUCGUGGUCGUUCACGAACACGCCGGC